This 599-nucleotide ribosomal RNA is filed under the name Rusavskia elegans. RNAcentral's name for it is "partial large subunit ribosomal RNA". It matches the Rfam family "Eukaryotic large subunit ribosomal RNA", at positions 351 to 968 of the family's 3401-position model. The record is from RNAcentral. Lineage: Eukaryota; Fungi; Ascomycota; Lecanoromycetes; Teloschistales; Teloschistaceae.
GAGUGAUCGAAAGAUGAAAAGCACUUUGGAAAGAGAGUCAAAAAGUACGUGAAAUUGUUGAAAGGGAAGCGCUUGCAACCAGACCUGCCCGCGGGCGAUCAGCCGUCCUUCUGGGCGGUGCACUCGCCCGCGAUCAGGCCAGCAUCGGUUCGGGCGGUCGGAUAAAGGCCUCGGGAACGUGGCUCCCCUCGGGGAGUGUUAUAGCCCUUGGUGCAAUGCGGCCUGCCCGGACCGAGGACCGCGCUUCGGCUAGGAUGCUGGCGUAAUGGUUGUAAGCGGCCCGUCUUGAAACACGGACCAAGGAGUCGACCAACUAUGCGAGUGUUUGGGCGUCAAACCCACACGCGCAAUGAAAGUGAACGGAGGUGGGAACCCCUCGCGGGGCGCACCAUCGACCGAUCCAGAUGUCUUCGGAUGGAUUUGAGUACGAGCAUAGCUGGUCGGACCCGAAAGAUGGUGAACUAUGCCUGAAUAGGGUGAAGCCAGAGGAAACUCUGGUGGAGGCUCGCAGCGGUUCUGACGUGCAAAUCGAUCGUCAAAUUUGGGCAUAGGGGCGAAAGACUAAUCGAACCAUCUAGUAGCUGGUUCCAGCCGAAGUC